RNAcentral lists this ribosomal RNA (484 nucleotides) under uncultured bacterium. Its description in RNAcentral is "partial 16S ribosomal RNA". It matches the Rfam family "Bacterial small subunit ribosomal RNA", at positions 30 to 507 of the family's 1533-position model. The record is from RNAcentral.
AUUGAACGCUGGCGGCAGGCCUAACACAUGCAAGUCGAGCGGAUGAAGGGAGCUUGCUCCUGGAUUCAGCGGCGGACGGGUGAGUAAUGCCUAGGAAUCUGCCUGGUAGUGGGGGAUAACGUCCGGAAACGGGCGCUAAUACCGCAUACGUCCUGCGGGAGAAAGUGGGGGAUCUUCGGACCUCACGCUAUCAGAUGAGCCUAGGUCGGAUUAGCUAGUUGGUGGGGUAAAGGCCUACCAAGGCGACGAUCCGUAACUGGUCUGAGAGGAUGAUCAGUCACACUAGAACUGAGACACGGUCCAGACUCCUACGGGAGGCAGCAGUGGGGAAUAUUGGACAAUGGGCGAAAGCCUGAUCCAGCCAUGCCGCGUGUGUUAAGAAAGUCUUCGGAUUGUAAAGCACUUUAAGUUGGGAGGAAGGGCAGUAAGUUAAUACCUUGCUGUUUUGACGUUACCAACAGAAUAAGCACCGGCUAACUUCGUG